Molecule: ribosomal RNA, 800 nt
Filed under: Bacillus velezensis
Lineage: Bacteria; Bacillati; Bacillota; Bacilli; Caryophanales; Bacillaceae
Description: bacterial SSU rRNA
Rfam family: Bacterial small subunit ribosomal RNA
Source: RNAcentral
UUUCUUAUACAUGCAAGUCGAGCGGACAGAUGGGAGCUUGCUCCCUGAUGUUAGCGGCGGACGGGUGAGUAACACGUGGGUAACCUGCCUGUAAGACUGGGAUAACUCCGGGAAACCGGGGCUAAUACCGGAUGGUUGUCUGAACCGCAUGGUUCAGACAUAAAAGGUGGCUUCGGCUACCACUUACAGAUGGACCCGCGGCGCAUUAGCUAGUUGGUGAGGUAACGGCUCACCAAGGCGACGAUGCGUAGCCGACCUGAGAGGGUGAUCGGCCACACUGGGACUGAGACACGGCCCAGACUCCUACGGGAGGCAGCAGUAGGGAAUCUUCCGCAAUGGACGAAAGUCUGACGGAGCAACGCCGCGUGAGUGAUGAAGGUUUUCGGAUCGUAAAGCUCUGUUGUUAGGGAAGAACAAGUGCCGUUCAAAUAGGGCGGCACCUUGACGGUACCUAACCAGAAAGCCACGGCUAACUACGUGCCAGCAGCCGCGGUAAUACGUAGGUGGCAAGCGUUGUCCGGAAUUAUUGGGCGUAAAGGGCUCGCAGGCGGUUUCUUAAGUCUGAUGUGAAAGCCCCCGGCUCAACCGGGGAGGGUCAUUGGAAACUGGGGAACUUGAGUGCAGAAGAGGAGAGUGGAAUUCCACGUGUAGCGGUGAAAUGCGUAGAGAUGUGGAGGAACACCAGUGGCGAAGGCGACUCUCUGGUCUGUAACUGACGCUGAGGAGCGAAAGCGUGGGGAGCGAACAGGAUUAGAUACCCUGGUAGUCCACGCCGUAAACGAUGAGUGCUAAGUGUUAGG